Molecule: ribosomal RNA, 326 nt
Filed under: Dickeya solani
Lineage: Bacteria; Pseudomonadati; Pseudomonadota; Gammaproteobacteria; Enterobacterales; Pectobacteriaceae
Description: bacterial SSU rRNA
Rfam family: Bacterial small subunit ribosomal RNA
Source: RNAcentral
CGAGUAGGGCUACACACGUGCUACAAUGGCGCAUACAAAGAGAAGCGACCUCGCGAGAGCAAGCGGACCUCAUAAAGUGCGUCGUAGUCCGGAUUGGAGUCUGCAACUCGACUCCAUGAAGUCGGAAUCGCUAGUAAUCGUAGAUCAGAAUGCUACGGUGAAUACGUUCCCGGGCCUUGUACACACCGCCCGUCACACCAUGGGAGUGGGUUGCAAAAGAAGUAGGUAGCUUAACCUUCGGGAGGGCGCUUACCACUUUGUGAUUCAUGACUGGGGUGAAGUCGUAACAAGGUAACCGUAGGGGAACCUGCGGUUGGAUCACCUCC